GCCUGGCUGGCUUAGUGGGUAGAGCGUGUGAUUCUUGAUCUCAGGGACAUGAGUUUAAAUCCUGUGCUGGGCA
This 73-nucleotide transfer RNA is filed under the name Ailuropoda melanoleuca (giant panda). It matches the Rfam family "tRNA". From Rfam's summary of the family: Transfer RNA (tRNA) molecules are approximately 80 nucleotides in length. Their secondary structure includes four short double-helical elements and three loops (D, anti-codon, and T loops). Further hydrogen bonds mediate the characteristic L-shaped molecular structure. tRNAs have two regions of fundamental functional importance: the anti-codon, which is responsible for specific mRNA codon recognition, and the 3' end, to which the tRNAs corresponding amino acid is attached (by aminoacyl-tRNA synthetases). tRNAs cope with the degeneracy of the genetic code in two manners: having more than one tRNA (with a specific anti-codon) for a particular amino acid; and 'wobble' base-pairing, i.e. permitting non-standard base-pairing at the 3rd anti-codon position. The record is from Rfam by way of RNAcentral. Lineage: Eukaryota; Metazoa; Chordata; Mammalia; Carnivora; Ursidae.